CUCUUCCACAGUAGACAAAAUCACCACCUGUAGCAAAAGAUGAAUGCAGACAUUUCAGUUGUUCAGAGGACAUAUGGUACACUUGAGUGUUUCAGAUGUACUAUCAUGAAAAGAUAUGAAGUGCAAGUCACAUGUUGUUGCUCCAGCUGUGAUGGUGAGCAUGCAAGAUAUGGUUUGCAAGAUGAGCCCUUCAAAGAUAUCAAUCAUAUACAGCAUGCUGCCCAAGAGCCUAAUGGUUAAAACAUCUCUGUUGACAUAUUCCUCUGGUUUGAUCUACAAGUCAUAGAAGUUAUAGUCAUAGAAUCACUAAGUUUGGAAAAGACUUACAAGAUCAUCUGGUCCAACCAUCCCCCUACCACCAACAUCACCCGCUAAACCA
Molecule: long non-coding RNA, 379 nt
Organism: Cygnus olor (mute swan)
Lineage: Eukaryota; Metazoa; Chordata; Aves; Anseriformes; Anatidae
Exons: 3
Source: RefSeq, a predicted model, not a curated record